AAGCGGUGGAUGAUGUGGCUUAAUUCGAGGCUACGCGAAGAACCUUAUCCUAGUCUUGACAUGCACGGAUUAACUCCUGGAAACAGGAGCCAGGCCUUCGGGUACAACGUGCACAGGUGCUGCAUGGCUGUCGUCAGCUCGUGUCGUGAGAUGUCGGGUUAAGUCCCUUAACGAGCGAAACCCUUGUCUCUAGUUGCCAGCGGGUCAUGCCGGGAACUCUAGAGAGACUGCCGGUGUUAAACCGGAGGAAGGUGGGGAUG
Molecule: ribosomal RNA, 260 nt
Filed under: uncultured Planctomycetota bacterium
Lineage: Bacteria; Pseudomonadati; Planctomycetota
Description: uncultured planctomycete partial 16S ribosomal RNA
Rfam family: Bacterial small subunit ribosomal RNA
Source: RNAcentral